This 24-nucleotide small nuclear RNA is filed under the name Arabidopsis thaliana (thale cress). Its description in RNAcentral is "snRNA_05254". The record is from RNAcentral. Lineage: Eukaryota; Viridiplantae; Streptophyta; Magnoliopsida; Brassicales; Brassicaceae.
UUCUUCCAUCAAAAAUCAUUUAUU